AGGAUUAUAAGCACAAUAAGGCACUAUGUGGACUAUGUCAGGAUUCAAGCACUUGGUGUCACUACUCCCUGAGUGGAUGAAAAAACACAUGUAUUUGGCAUAAACAAGAUAAAGAAACAAAACAAAAUUUCACCAAUUCUAUCUGAAUUAAGGAUAUUUCUUUUAUUUUCUUCUAAUAUUUACAAGCAUUAAAAAAAGUCCAGCAACUUUGUCAGAACACAAAUUCACAUAGGUGGACUCUUAUGCUCUCUUCCAACGCAAGUUGAGUCUGCACCCCCCAAGAUUUUC
RNAcentral lists this long non-coding RNA (288 nucleotides) under Actinidia chinensis (golden kiwifruit). RNAcentral describes it as "long non-coding RNA (ACHI_LNC000613)". Lineage: Eukaryota; Viridiplantae; Streptophyta; Magnoliopsida; Ericales; Actinidiaceae. The record is from RNAcentral.